RNAcentral lists this ribosomal RNA (253 nucleotides) under uncultured bacterium. RNAcentral describes it as "partial 16S ribosomal RNA". It matches the Rfam family "Bacterial small subunit ribosomal RNA", at positions 524 to 776 of the family's 1533-position model. The record is from RNAcentral.
UACGUAGGGUGCGAGCGUUGUCCGGAAUUAUUGGGCGUAAAGGGCUCGUAGGCGGUUUGUCACGUCGGGAGUGAAAACUCGGGGCUUAACCCCGAGCCUGCUUCCGAUACGGGCAGACUAGAGGUAUGCAGGGGAGAACGGAAUUCCUGGUGUAGCGGUGAAAUGCGCAGAUAUCAGGAGGAACACCGGUGGCGAAGGCGGUUCUCUGGGCCUGUACUGACGCUGAGGAGCGAAAGCGUGGGGAGCGAACAGG